Molecule: long non-coding RNA, 877 nt
Filed under: Bemisia tabaci
Lineage: Eukaryota; Metazoa; Arthropoda; Insecta; Hemiptera; Aleyrodidae
Description: lncRNA ENSSWEETPG008696
Source: RNAcentral
CUCUUGAGGAUACAGACAUCUUUUUAUCCUAUAUUUAUUUUUGAUGGAGAAAGUGCUGGCACCAAACUCAUCAGUUACAAUCGAAUGAAGUUUUUGUUAGAGUCUCUAGAGGAUCUGGACAAUCAGUUUUCGAGCCAAAAGGAGGAAAAGCUCUAUGUCUUCUUCGGGUCACCCAUAGAAAUUUUGCGAAAUUCAAAGCUCAUCUCAAUUUCUACAAACUGACUUUUGAGCAGCACACUGUGUCUGUGAUUGGGCCUCCACCGAGGCCGGUUGAGGAUCCUUGUUGGGAUGGAAUAAAGUUGGUGUGCUACCAGAUAGUUUGAAGCGUGAACUUGAUGUCAGAGACAAGAUUCCUGUUCCAGCCGAUUUUAAACCUCAAACCGGAAUUGAAGCAGUCGGAAUACACUAUCGAAUGGUUCGGAGGGGAAAUCAAGCUCUGUCCAAUUUGCGGAAGAGAAUUGCUGUGGAGGAGAAAGCUUUUCGACAAGGAUUUGUCAACCGAACCAAACUCAGCCGGAUUUGCUUGGUCCCCAACAAGUCAGUCCGCAGCAUUAAGAUAUGGAUGCUUGUCUGUCCGGAAGUAUGUACACACUCCGAUUUUCUCUACAUUCAAAAACCUACCUUGAAACCUAGACCAUUCAAUUCUCUUCCUGAAAUUUACAACUUAGUUGUUCUAGGAUAACAGUGUUUCUUCUAUUUGGAUCAUCAUUAUGUGGAAAUUGAAGUUUGCAAAUUGUAAAAUUUGCAAAGAUGUACAAUGAAAAAUAGUCUUCACUAGGUCUUUUUGUUUUUUUUAUACAGAGAAAAUAAUGAAAGGUCUCCUCCAUUCAAAAUUAAAACAUAAGGAAUGGACUGCACAAGUUGUGGAUAAAUUUAA